ACGGAAGGCAGCAGUGAGGAAUAUUGGUCAAUGGGCGAGAGCCUGAACCAGCCAAGUCGCGUGAAGGAUGAAGGUUCUAUGGAUUGUAAACUUCUUUUGUUCGAGGGUAAAGUGAGGGAUGCGUCCCUUAUUGCAAGUAUCGAACGAAUAAGCAUCGGCUAACUCCGUGCCAGCAGCCGCGGUAAUACGGAGGAUGCGAGCGUUAUCCGGAUUUAUUGGGUUUAAAGGGUGCGUAGGCGGGAUGUUAAGUCAGCGGUGAAAGCGUGUAGCUCAACUAUACCAAGCCGUUGAAACUGGCGUUCUUGAGUGUAAACGAGGUAGGCGGAAUGUGACGUGUAGCGGUGAAGUGCUUAGAUAUGUCACAGAACCCCGAUUGCGAAGGCAGCUUACCAGCAUACAACUGACGCUGAGGCACGAAAGUGCGGGGAUCAAACAGGAUUAGAUACCCUGGUA
This 453-nucleotide ribosomal RNA is filed under the name uncultured Porphyromonadaceae bacterium. RNAcentral's name for it is "bacterial SSU rRNA". It matches the Rfam family "Bacterial small subunit ribosomal RNA", at positions 341 to 792 of the family's 1533-position model. Lineage: Bacteria; Pseudomonadati; Bacteroidota; Bacteroidia; Bacteroidales; Porphyromonadaceae. The record is from RNAcentral.